CAGCCGCCGCGGGAAUACGAAGGGGGCUAGCGUUGCUCGGAAUUACUGGGCGUAAAGGGAGCGUAGGCGGACAUUUAAGUCAGAGGUGAAAUCCCGGGGCUCAACCUCGGAAUUGCCUUUGAUACUGGGUGUCUUGAGUAUGAGAGAGGUAUGUGGAACUCCGCGUGUAGAGGUGAAAUUCGUAGAUAUUCGGAAGAACACCAGCGGCGAAGGCGACAUACUGGCUCAUUACUGACGCUGAGGCUCGAAAGCGUGGGGAGCAAACAGGAUUAGAUACCCCGGUAGUCCCUGUCUCUUAUAC
RNAcentral lists this ribosomal RNA (301 nucleotides) under uncultured bacterium. RNAcentral's name for it is "partial 16S ribosomal RNA". It matches the Rfam family "Bacterial small subunit ribosomal RNA", at positions 509 to 807 of the family's 1533-position model. The record is from RNAcentral.